Long non-coding RNA from Numida meleagris (helmeted guineafowl), 921 nucleotides. Lineage: Eukaryota; Metazoa; Chordata; Aves; Galliformes; Numididae. The record is from Ensembl.
UUUUCCCAUUGGCAUUGUGUCAUAAUUCCAUGAAGUCACUACUAACUGCCAUUGAGGAGGACUGGGACUGCGGUUCCCCCCCACCAUGUGUGCAAGGGCAGCAAAAGGGAAGACACGUCUGGAACACUGCCACGUGUGCUGGUGUUGGUGUCCGCUAUGACGAAUUGCCUUGCUGACUCUGGAGCUGACGUGUUUUGACUGCUGAAUGCCAUGCCUGGCUGGGAGUCCUUCACCCAGCCUUGGCGCCGUAUAUCCGAGCUCUCCUGUCUGACUUGAGAGACUUCGUUAAUCUCUGUGGAGCCCUUGGGAACUCAUAGAGAAUUGCAACAUGUCAUCAUUGGUACACAAAGAAACAUUUUAUUCCAUACUAUUACCAGGAGCCCAUUUUAUUAUCCGUCCCCAUUUUGCUUGAGUAUCAUGGAAUGAAGCAACUGGAAGGCUCUUCUUCCCCCGGAGAACAACCAGCCCUUCACAGCGUGUGGCCCUUGCUUGGACUCACUCAGGGUGUACGUGGGCCUGUGCAGAACCCCGUGCACACACGUACACCCGCAGAAGUGCGCUCGGGUCACUCGCUUGUCACCAGAAAAAAAGGUGGAAGGCACACGUCAGUGACAACAGCACCAUCUUCUGUCUGCAGAGAUUAUGAAGCCUGCAUUCACGCUUGCCCGAGUACUCCAGAGAUGGGGCUGGUUGAGACUCCUCGAUCUACAGCUGGAUCUUGAACUCUUCAUGAGCUUGAGUGUCUGAACAAGUCUGAUUGUAUGUGGGGAAGCGUGGGUGUAUGAAAAGCUACAAAAGCUUCAGCUCUCAUACCACUUAUCCCUGGAGCAACCUUUUCAUCUGCCUUUUAUUAUCCUCCCCACAAAAACUCAGUUGCAAAACUUAGACUACAUUUUCCUUCCCUGUGGCUUGAUAUAUUGC